UACGUAGGGUGCAAGCGUUAAUCGGAAUUACUGGGCGUAAAGCGUGCGCAGGCGGUUAUAUAAGACAGAUGUGAAAUCCCCGGGCUCAACCUGGGAACUGCAUUUGUGACUGUGUAGCUAGAGUACGGCAGAGGGGGAUGGAAUUCCGCGUGUAGCAGUGAAAUGCGUAGAUAUGCGGAGGAACACCGAUGGCGAAGUCAAUCCCCUGGGCCUGUACUGACGCUCAUGCACGAAAGCGUGGGGAGCAAACAGG
This 253-nucleotide ribosomal RNA is filed under the name uncultured bacterium. RNAcentral describes it as "partial 16S ribosomal RNA". It matches the Rfam family "Bacterial small subunit ribosomal RNA", at positions 524 to 776 of the family's 1533-position model. The record is from RNAcentral.